This 576-nucleotide ribosomal RNA is filed under the name uncultured bacterium. RNAcentral's name for it is "bacterial SSU rRNA". It matches the Rfam family "Bacterial small subunit ribosomal RNA", at positions 66 to 630 of the family's 1533-position model. The record is from RNAcentral.
GGGGCAGCGGGGUUGUAGCAAUACAACUGCCGGCUACCGGCGCACGGGUGAGUAACACGUAUGUAACCUGCCCUCUGCAGGGGGAUAAGCGGAAGAAAUUCCGUCUACUACCGCAUAAUACAAUUUGGAGACAUCUCCGGGUUGUCAAAGGAGUGAUCCGGCAGAGGAUGGACAUGCGGCGCAUUAGCUAGUCGGCGGGGUAACGGCCCACCGAGGCUACGAUGCGUAGGGGUUCUGAGAGGAAGGUCCCCCACACUGGUACUGAGACACGGACCAGACUCCUACGGGAGGCAGCAGUGAGGAAUAUUGGUCAAUGGGCGGAAGCCUGAACCAGCCAAGUCGCGUGAGGGAAGACGGUCCUAUGGAUUGUAAACCUCUUUUGCAGGGGAGCAAGGCGCGGUACGUGUACCGCGAAGGAGAGUACCCUGAGAAAAAGCAUCGGCUAACUCCGUGCCAGCAGCCGCGGUAAUACGGAGGAUGCGAGCGUUAUCCGGAUUUAUUGGGUUUCAAGGGUGCGCAGGCGGACUGUUAAGUCAGCGGUAAAAAUGUCGGUGCUCAACACCGGCCGGCCGUUGA